Molecule: ribosomal RNA, 480 nt
Filed under: uncultured bacterium
Lineage: Bacteria
Description: bacterial SSU rRNA
Rfam family: Bacterial small subunit ribosomal RNA
Source: RNAcentral
ACGCUGGCGGCGUGCCUAACGCAUGCAAGUCGAGCGGAGAUAGAGAAGAGUACUUGUACAAAUUUCUAUUUCAGCGGCGGACGGGUGAGUAACACGUGAGUAACCUGCCUUUCACUGGGGAAUAACAUCGAGAAAUCGGUGCUAAUACCGCAUAACGUCACGAAGCCGCAUGGUUUUGUGACCAAAGGAGUAAUCCGGUGAAAGAUGGACUCGCGUCCGAUUAGAUAGUUGGUGAGGUAAUGGCUCACCAAGUCUGCGAUCGGUAGCCGAACUGAGAGGUUGAUCGGCCACAUUGGGACUGAGACACGGCCCAGACUCCUACGGGAGGCAGCAUUGGGGAAUAUUGGGCAAUGGGCGAAAGCCUGACCCCGCACAGCCGCGUGAAGGAAGAAGGUCUUCGGAUUGUAGACUUCUUUGAUCAGGGACGNNNNNNNUGACGGUUACGUGAAGAACAAGCCAGGGCUAACUACGUGCCAGCAG